RNAcentral lists this transfer RNA (67 nucleotides) under Apicotermitinae gen. H sp. CMRT160. Its description in RNAcentral is "tRNA-Asn". Lineage: Eukaryota; Metazoa; Arthropoda; Insecta; Blattodea; Termitidae. The record is from RNAcentral.
UUAACUGAAACCAAAGAGAGGUAUAUUAUUGUUAAUAAUAAAACUGAAUAAAAUUAUUCCGGUUAAG